Long non-coding RNA from Telopea speciosissima, 362 nucleotides. RefSeq lists it as uncharacterized. The transcript is spliced from 2 exons. The record is from RefSeq and is a predicted model, not a curated record. Lineage: Eukaryota; Viridiplantae; Streptophyta; Magnoliopsida; Proteales; Proteaceae.
UCUGGUGGUGUACGGCUUCUCUCUCUCUCUCUGCCCUUUUUGUUCUAUGCGUAUACUAUAUACAGCACCGACUGCCGCCGAACUUGCGAACUUACAGCAAUUGCUGCUGCUUUCUCUCUGGCUUUUUUCUUUACGGUCUUUUCUUAGAGGUUCUGAAACCGGCUCUCCGGUGGAAACUUACCGGAUCUGAUUGGAAAAUUCACUGCAUAUCUAUCAGAUCGAAGUUGGAAGGAGUGGAGUUGCAGAGGAUAGAGAGUCAGAGACUUUAAGGGAAGUUUAAGGUUAAUUAAAUAGUUCUUAUGGGUUUUGGAUAAUUUUUAAUGCUGCAUUAAUCAAAAUCGAGGAGGUUUCUGCAGUUACGA